UCUCCGUAGGUGAACCUGCGGAAGGAUCAUUAUUGUAUAACCGAGGUGCGAGGGCCGUCGCUGACCCGAAAGGUCGUGCACGCCCGAGUGCCCUCACACACAUCCAUCUCACCCCUAUGUGCACCACCGCGUGGGUCCCCCUUUGGCUUGUUCGGAGGGGGGCUUACGUUUUCACACAAACUUUGUAUGCAGUGUAGAAUGUAUUUUUUGUUUUUGCGAUCACGCAAUCAAUACAACUUUCAACAACGGAUCUCUUGGCUCUC
This 263-nucleotide unclassified non-coding RNA is filed under the name plant metagenome. RNAcentral describes it as "partial contains small subunit ribosomal RNA, internal transcribed spacer 1, and 5.8S ribosomal RNA". The record is from RNAcentral.